GUGGGGUAGUGGCCUACCAAGGCGACGACGGGUAGCCGGCCUGAGAGGGUGACCGGCCACACUGGGACUGAGACACGGCCCAGACUCCUACGGGAGGCAGCAGUGGGGAAUAUUGCGCAAUGGGCGAAAGCCUGACGCAGCGACGCCGCGUGAGGGAUGACGGCCUUCGGGUUGUAAACCUCUUUCAGUAGGGACGAAGCGCAAGUGACGGUACCUACAGAAGAAGCACCGGCCAACUACGUGCCAGCAGCCGCGGUAAUACGUAGGGUGCAAGCGUUGUCCGGAAUUAUUGGGCGUAAAGAGCUCGUAGGCGGUCUGUCGCGUCGGCUGUGAAAACCCGAGGCUCAACCUCGGGCCUGCAGUCGAUACGGGCAGACUGGAGUACUGCAGGGGAGACUGGAAUUCCUGGUGUAGCGGUGAAAUGCGCAGAUAUCAGGAGGAACACCGGUGGCGAAGGCGGGUCUCUGGGCAGUUACUGACGCUGAGGAGCGAAAGCGUGGGGAGCGAACAGGAUUAGAUACCCUGGUAGUCCACGCCGUAAACGUUGGGCGCUAGGUGUGGGGGCCAUUCCACGGUCUCCGUGCCGCAGCUAACGCAUUAAGCG
Molecule: ribosomal RNA, 604 nt
Filed under: uncultured Modestobacter sp.
Lineage: Bacteria; Bacillati; Actinomycetota; Actinomycetes; Geodermatophilales; Geodermatophilaceae
Description: bacterial SSU rRNA
Rfam family: Bacterial small subunit ribosomal RNA
Source: RNAcentral